UACAGAGGGUGCGAGCGUUGUCCGGAAUCACUGGGCGUAAAGGGCGCGUAGGUGGCGAUCCAAGUCCAUGGUGAAAGCUCGAUGCUCAACAUCGAGUCGGCCACGGAUACUGGGUUGCUUGAGCACUGUAGGGGCAGAUGGAAUUCCGGGUGUAGCGGUGGAAUGCGUAGAGAUCCGGAAGAACACCGGUGGCGAAGGCGGGUCUCUGGGCAGUAACUGACGCUGAGGAGCGAAAGCGUGGGGAGCGAACAGG
RNAcentral lists this ribosomal RNA (253 nucleotides) under uncultured bacterium. RNAcentral's name for it is "partial 16S ribosomal RNA". It matches the Rfam family "Bacterial small subunit ribosomal RNA", at positions 524 to 776 of the family's 1533-position model. The record is from RNAcentral.